GGCGAUGUAGCACAGCGGUUAAUGCACCGAGUUCAUACCCCGGGUAUCGCUGGUUCGAUUCCAGCCAUCGCCACCA
This 76-nucleotide transfer RNA is filed under the name Clostridia bacterium. RNAcentral describes it as "tRNA-Met". It matches the Rfam family "tRNA". Rfam says of the family: Transfer RNA (tRNA) molecules are approximately 80 nucleotides in length. Their secondary structure includes four short double-helical elements and three loops (D, anti-codon, and T loops). The record is from RNAcentral. Lineage: Bacteria; Bacillati; Bacillota; Clostridia.